RNAcentral lists this ribosomal RNA (253 nucleotides) under uncultured bacterium. RNAcentral's name for it is "partial 16S ribosomal RNA". It matches the Rfam family "Bacterial small subunit ribosomal RNA", at positions 524 to 776 of the family's 1533-position model. The record is from RNAcentral.
UACGUAGGGGGCAAGCGUUGUCCGGAUUUAUUGGGCGUAAAGAGCGUGUAGGCGGCCAGACAGGUCCGUUGUGAAAACUCGAGGCUCAACCUCGAGAUGUCGAUGGAAACCGUCUGGCUAGAGUCCGGAAGAGGAGUGUGGAAUUCCUGGUGUAGCGGUGAAAUGCGCAGAUAUCAGGAAGAACACCGGUGGCGAAGGCGCUCUGCUAGGCCGCAACUGACACUGAGGGACGAAAGCUAGGGGAGCGAAUGGG